AGCCCAGGCUUAUACCUUGUUGUAAACACUCAUACGCAAAUUCGGAAUAAGAUCUUCUUUGCUCUCUUUUUUGAUUUCUUAUACUUUAUCGUUGUUAUUCUCGUGUUCUGAUUGCUUGACGUGUGGUAAUUAGCAGAUAUCGGGGUCCUCUAGGAAAUUAGGGUUUUUCUAGUUUCCUUAUUUAAACGGAAAUCGACAGUGCGAAUUUCGGUUCCCACAUGAAGCUAAAGAAGAUUAUAAAAGAACUUGAAGAAUCAGGCGAAAGAAAUGAUAGCGGUUAUCAUUUGGCUGAUGACAGAACCCUCCUACUGAACGUAAGGAUAACAGUACCUAUAGGAAAUGAGUUACAAGAAGAGAUCUUGAAAACCGCACACCACUCAGUAUUCAGUAUUCAUCCUGGAAGCACCAAGAUGUACCAGGGUGUACGUCGAAACUAUCCCUGGCCAGGAAUCAAAUGAUCAGUUGCUAAGUGGGUAGCUCAGUGCCAGACCUGCCAACAAGUUAAAGCUGACCAUCAAGUGCCAGGAGGAUUAUUGCAAAGCCUACCAAUCCCAGAACGGAAUUGGGAGUCAGUGGCUAUAGAUUUUGUAACAGGACUACCUCGAGCCCCAGGAAGAGGGAAUGAUAUUAUAUGGGUGGUGGUAGACCGACUAACUAAGACUGCUCACUUUCUACCAUUAGAAUUGUUGACAAGGUAGAAGUACUGGCAGAACUUUACUUAAAGGAGAUAGUACGAUUACAUGGAAUUUCUGCCAACAUAGUACCUGAUCGUGACCCAAGAUUUAAUGCUCAAUUUUGGAGAGCUUUCCAGCAAGUAUUGGGGACUGAUUUUCAUAUGAGUACGGCGUUUCACCCAGAAACUGAUGGGCAGACGGCGCGAACAAUCAGAACCUGGGAAGAUUUGUUAAGGAUGUGUGUUUUAGACUGGUCAGGUACAUGGGAACAAUACUUGCCUUUGGUAUAGUUUUCUUAUAACAACAGUUACCAUGCAAGUAUUGGGAUGUCCCAUUUUGAGGCAGUAUAUGGACGACCUUGCCGCCCACCACUGUGUUGGGCUGAAGUUGGAGAAAGACACCAUAUGUAGUAGAUGAAAUAACAGAAAAGAUAAAGAUUGUCCGGGAGAAUAUGAAGAAAGCUCAAGACAGGCAGAAGAAGUAUGCCGAUCAGAAUAGACGUGAAGUAAUAUUUCAAGUUGGUGAUCGGGUAUAUUUGAAGGUGGUUGCACAGAAAGGGAGAGAUAGAUUCGGAAAAUUGGGAAAGUUAGCCACUGGAUAUAUGGGACCAUACCGAAGUAGCCUAUCGAUUAGAGUUACUAUCAGAUAUGGCAAUUCACCCAGUUUUCCAUGUCUCGAUGUUAAGAAGGCAUAUACGAGAUCCUACCGAAGUAGAGCCGCAAAGAAUAGAAAACCUUCGUUCCAACCUCACUUACCCUGAAGGACCACUUCGAAUCGGAGAAAGACGAAUAAAAAACUGAAGAAUCGAGAGAUCCCUCAAGUGCAAGUAUUUUGGGGAAAACAGCGCAGAGUAAUUAUGACAUGGGAAGAAGAUGAGAGGUUUAGAGCAACUCAUCCUGAACUGUUUUAGGAAGAUGAAGAAGAUCAGAUGGGUGGAACAUCAAAACACUAAGAAUUCAGGAUGAAUUCUAUUGAGCGGAGGAGAAUGUAAUAACCCUCUUCAAAGAUUAAAACACAAACAAGGAAAAAUCAUGUAACAGCUGAGAAAAUUACUCAAGUAAGUGGAGGUCAGAUUGAUCUUUUCCCGUGGAUGAUUGUGGAUCCCAAGGUACAUAAGAAAAAUUUAGAAAGUCUUAGAAUAUUUUUUCAUCUAAAGAAUUAAAUUCUUCAAGAAAUUUAGUGGAUUGAAAAUGCUCGCGGUUCAGCCUAGAACGUCCUAGUCGGACAAGAAAUUAAUAGAAAAUUUAUUAUAGGGCCUUAAGAUAGGAAUUACCAUAGAAUUAUUUUAGAAAUGUUUUGGUAUAAGAAAUCUUGGUUUUUGUCAAGGAGAAAUAUUCCCGCCAGCUCAGAUCAACUUAUAACACGUUUGGGAUUUAAAUACGGCCCAUUCGGGGCCAUUAAUGAUGUGUUAAGCAUGUUUGGAAGCUUCCGGAAGAUGCAGCGGCUUGCUUACCUCCUUCAAGCAGCUGGACAUGUUCUUCUCCUUGACUGGACCACCUACAAAUAGUUCUUGUCUCAUUUCUAUUGGAUGCUUUGGUGGCUGGCCACAAAGCUGGGUUUUAUUGGCCAAAAUUGUGGCUAAGAUACCAAGCUGUCUCCUAUUGGUUGGCUUGGGAGGCAGAGACACCUCCUACUUGCCAUGCAAGACCAAAAUCUUCCCAUGAGCUCAUUCUCCAGCCUAUAAAUAGCAUACCACCCCCAUUAGUUCAUUCUCCACUUUUAAAACCGACCAUAGGCACCCAAGAGAACCCGAGAACACUUGAGCCUUAAGGUAACGUUUUGGUCUUUAGCUUUCUGUUUUUUUUUAAUUAGCUUUCUUUUCUUUCUUUUACUUUCAUAUCCUACCCUCUAUGUGACUAUAUUUCUAAAGUUCUAGAGUUUUCCCGAUAAAAGUUCAAAGUGAAGCCGACCGCGAGGUUUGAGUGUUUGCAGUUCGAAACUUUCUUCUAAGUGUCGAGAUUUGAUCCGUGAGGGUCCGACACUCGGGUGGAGUGCCAUGAGAGUCAUUGGUGUCCACUCUAGGCCUGUGCCUUUUCCGGGGCCUUACCAAAAUUAUUUUUGGGCCGACGCGAAGACACAGGUGACAGGGGUAGCUACCCUCGACCGUAUAGCUGCAUGACGAUGCGGCAAGUUUGUUAUCCGGGCCAUCGGCUUUUUAGACUUUGUGUUUAGAGUCAAUGAGCGCAAGAAGGGAUGUGUUAUGGACUUCGUAUCGAGAGAGGAACAAUUGGAAAGAGGCAGUCCUCGACGAUCGAUAAUGAUCUAACCACUCGUGAAGAGUGCAUGCUUGUUUACGUGAUUGCUUUAUUUUUGCAUUGCAUAUUUCUUAAUAUAAUUGAUCUUUGUUGCGUGAUGUUUGAUGCAUAAUGGGGGGAUAAAUAAUUGUUAGGAAACCCGACUCACUGAGCAAAAUAGUUGCUUAUAAGACUCUUUGUUUUGCAGGUAACCCGUAGUAGGUUCCAUUUGGAUCGGAGGAGCACAAAGCUGUUGAUGUAGAUUUUCUACCUUUUGCAAACAUAUACGUUUUGUAAUAUGUAAGAUAUAGUUUUGAAUAUCGGCCGAGCAUGUAAAAAGUUUUGAUGUGGUUGAACUUAAAGGAUAUAUGAAUAAGAAAAAGUUUGUGAAAUGCUUGGAUUCCAUAUGAUACUACUCCUAGUCCGGGACGAACUAACUAACGUUUUCAAACUUGGGUUGCAAAGCCUUAACUUGGAAUCGCUAGGAAACCCGUUCUUGGACAUAUGAUCUUGGGAUUUCGGAUCUGAUCCGGGAACCUCGGGUCAAAUGUUUGGGCACGUGGUAGUAGUAUCUUUGAUCUGGUUAGAUCUCUUUAGUUUGUCGUGCAUGUUCUUGUUUGAUUGGUGCAUGGCAAACUAAUUAACUUUUACUUAUUAUGGAGCUGGGGUGUUACAGGUCAUCCAAUGUCGGAUCAUACAACUUUGUUUUUGCUAUACGAAAAAAUAUUUUUUCGUAAAACCUGUUAUGUUUACUUUCGUAAGUUGCUUCGUAUGACUUGAUAUGAUUGUACGAUGGAAUUUUUGGGUAAGUAAAGGGCGACUGGUUUUAUGAAAGUAGUAAAUCUGUGGUAUGUAUGGACAUGUCAAAGUAGCGUUGUUUCUGCAGAUUUUGCUAGAAACAUUUAUGAUUUGAUUUUGAUUAUUGGUGAAAGUUUCUUGUAGUUACUUAUUGAGUGUUACCGAAGUUUAUUUUGCUACGAUCUAGUCGCAGAACGUUUUUUCUAGGCUUUUGAGAGGAUUCUCAUGAUAUAUUCGUUUCUGGAACGAAUUGGUUAACCAGCGGUAGAUCUAGUCAACGAGCGGGGAGAAUGCAUUCCCUUUGUUAUGGUCGCUGCUACUUUUAUUCUGAAUUUUUCUUUGUCGCAAAUGUUUUCGAUGCUUUUCUGUGACUCACUUGGUUCAACGGAAAUUGAAAGCAAUGCUUUGAUUCUUGAAGAUUGCUCGUAUAAUUUUUUUUAUUUUAUACGAAACUCGCUUUAUUAAGUCGAAAAGGUCUUCAAGACAUUGACUAAUCGUCGAGUUUCAGUUUUAUAUUUGUACAGGUUUUCAAAACGCAUGAUUGUGUAAAGAAAUUCGGUAAAUUCCUCGAGAUUGUUCGUGAUGGUUUGUGGGAACCGAAAUUCGCACUGUCGAUUUCCAUCUAAAUUAGGAAACUGUGGGAACCGAAAUCCGUUUAAAUAAGGAAACUAGGAAAACCCUAAUUUCCCAGAGGACCCGGAUAUCUGCUAAUUACCACACGUCAAGCAAUCAGAACACGAGAAUAACAACGAUAAAGUAUAAGAAAUCGAAAAAGA
Long non-coding RNA from Brassica rapa (field mustard), 4482 nucleotides. RefSeq lists it as uncharacterized. The record is from RefSeq and is a predicted model, not a curated record. NCBI's taxonomy places the organism in Eukaryota, Viridiplantae, Streptophyta, Magnoliopsida, Brassicales, Brassicaceae.